AGGAACUUGUUCCUUGGGUGACGAGCGGCGGACGGGUGAGUAACGCGUAGGAAUCUGCCUGGUAGUGGGGGACAACAUGUGGAAACGCAUUCUAAUACCGCACACGCCCUUAGGGGGAAAGGAGGGGAUCUUAGGACCUUUCGCUAUCAGAUGAGCCUGCGUGAGAUUAGCUAGUUGGUGGGGUAAAGGCUCACCAAGGCGACGAUCUCUAGCUGGUCUGAGAGGAUGACCAGUCACACUGGGACUGAGACACGGCCCAGACUCCUACGGGAGGCAGCAGUGGGGAAUAUUGGACAAUGGGGGCAACCCUGAUCCAGCCAUGCCGCGUGUGUGAAGAAGGCCUGCGGGUUGUAAAGCACUUUCAGUUGGGAAGAUGAUGACGUUACCAACAGAAGAAGCACCGGCUAAAUCCGUGCCAGCAGCCGCGGUAAUACGGAGGGGGUUAGCGUUGUUCGGAAUUACUGGGCGUAAAGCGCACGUAGGCGGAUUAGAAAGUUAGGGGUGAAAUCCCGGGGCUCAACCUCGGAACUGCCUCUAAAACUCCUAGUCUAGAGUUCGAGAGAGGUGAGUGGAAUUCCAAGUGUAGAGGUGAAAUUCGUAGAUAUUUGGAGGAACACCAGUGGCGAAGGCGGCUCACUGGCUCGAUACUGACGCUGAGGUGCGAAAGUGUGGGGGGCAAACAGGAUUAGAUACCCUGGUAG
Molecule: ribosomal RNA, 701 nt
Filed under: uncultured Alphaproteobacteria bacterium
Lineage: Bacteria; Pseudomonadati; Pseudomonadota; Alphaproteobacteria
Description: bacterial SSU rRNA
Rfam family: Bacterial small subunit ribosomal RNA
Source: RNAcentral